UACGUAGGUGGCAAGCGUUGUCCGGAAUUAUUGGGCGUAAAGCGCGCGCAGGCGGUUUCUUAAGUCUGAUGUGAAAGCCCCCGGCUCAACCGGGGAGGGUCAUUGGGAACUGGGAAACUUGAGUGCAGAAGAGGAAAGUGGAAUUCCAAGUGUAGCGGUGAAAUGCGUAGAGAUUUGGAGGAACACCAGUGGCGAAGGCGACUUUCUGGUCUGUAACUGACGCUGAGGCGCGAAAGCGUGGGGAGCAAACAGG
Molecule: ribosomal RNA, 253 nt
Filed under: uncultured bacterium
Lineage: Bacteria
Description: partial 16S ribosomal RNA
Rfam family: Bacterial small subunit ribosomal RNA
Source: RNAcentral